This 465-nucleotide ribosomal RNA is filed under the name uncultured bacterium. RNAcentral's name for it is "bacterial SSU rRNA". It matches the Rfam family "Bacterial small subunit ribosomal RNA", at positions 28 to 484 of the family's 1533-position model. The record is from RNAcentral.
GAUGAACGCUAGCGGCAGGCUUAAUACAUGCAAGUCGUGGGGCAGCAGGUUUGUAGCAAUACAGAUGCUGGCGACCGGCAAACGGGUGCGGAACACGUACAGAACCUUCCUUUGAGCGGGGAAUAGCCCAGAGAAAUUUGGAUUAAUACCCCAUAGUAUAAUGAAGUGGCAUCACUUUAUUAUUAAAGAUUUAUCACUCGAAGAUGGCUGUGCGGCUGAUUAGGUAGUUGGCGGGGUAACGGCCCACCAAGGCGACGAUCGGUAGGGGGUCUGAGAGGAUGAUCCCCCACACUGGUACUGAGACACGGACCAGACUCCUACGGGAGGCAGCAGUAAGGAAUAUUGGACAAUGGUCGCAAGACUGAUCCAGCCAUGCCGCGUGCAGGAUGAACGAUCUAUGAUCUGUAAACUGCUUUUGUUCGGGAAUAAACCCCUUCACGUGUGGAGGGCUGAAUGUACCGAAAG